This 480-nucleotide ribosomal RNA is filed under the name uncultured bacterium. Its description in RNAcentral is "bacterial SSU rRNA". It matches the Rfam family "Bacterial small subunit ribosomal RNA", at positions 28 to 507 of the family's 1533-position model. The record is from RNAcentral.
GAUGAACGCUAGCGGGAGGCUUAACACAUGCAAGGUCGAGGGGUAAAUGGUAGCAAUACUAUGAGACCGGCGGACGGGUGCGUAACGCGUAUGCAACAUACCUUGUGCAGGGGGAUAGCCCGUGGAAACGCGGAUUAAUAUUCCAUAGUCCAGCUAUAUCGCAUGGUAUAGUUGGUAAAGAUUUAUCGGCACAAGUUUGGCAUGCGUCUGAUUAGCUUGUUGGUAGGGUAACGGCCUACCAAGGCUACGAUCAGUAGGGGUUCUGAGAGGAUUAACCCCCACACUGGUACUGAGACACGGACCAGACUCCUACGGGAGGCAGCAGUGAGGAAUAUUGGUCAAUGGGCGGAAGCCUGAACCAGCCAUCCCGCGUGAAGGAAGACAGCCUUACGGGUUGUAAACUUCUUUUCUGUCAGAAGAAUAAGCUUGUCGAGACGAGUGAUGCCGGUAUGACAGGAAUAAGCAUCGGCUAACUCCGUG